This 627-nucleotide long non-coding RNA is filed under the name Ananas comosus (pineapple). Its description in RNAcentral is "long non-coding RNA (ACOM_LNC038798)". The record is from RNAcentral. Lineage: Eukaryota; Viridiplantae; Streptophyta; Magnoliopsida; Poales; Bromeliaceae.
UACGGAAGUCUUAAAUACGUACGGACCGCCGUCGGAGUCACUGAGGUGACCUGCUCUCAUGUAAAAUUCUCUGAUCAACUCCAAACAAUAACCGGUUUGCUCCGGAAAAUCACAAAUCUGAUGAAGAUUUCCCUGUUCAAAUAAAUCCUGAAAACCCGGCACACAACUAAUGAUACUGGCCACCCCAACAUCUCGCUCACCAAUGCAGUGUUUCGACGAGUACAUUGACCGUCGAUUAGAUGGAACAUCCUGUAGACUGUGACGUGGUGGCUCAGAGCCCGGUUCUCGAAUUUCAACACCCCCGGACUUACGACGACCGAGACGCUCAGUCGCCUUUCCUUUGCCUUUAUCCACGGCUUUUCCUUUUCCCUUGCCUUUCGCAGUAUCCUUAUCCUUAGCUAAUACCUCGGGAACAAAAGUCUCCCAAUCCGGCUCGUCCUCCUCAGAAUCGUCGCCAGGAGCAUAUUCGCUCUCUUCAUCCUCCGGUUGAUACUCAAUCUGUAAUAUACCGUAAAUUCGGAAAAUGAAUAUCGAACUUUAGUCGAAUUGACCAAAGUGCGAGGAUGGAACACUUCGGAGAGUCCGAAGGUGUUAAAAUGAUCAAAAGUGAGUUAUGGAAGGUUUUCG